Molecule: ribosomal RNA, 63 nt
Filed under: uncultured bacterium
Lineage: Bacteria
Description: partial 16S ribosomal RNA
Source: RNAcentral
UCCGUCGUCGGAACCCGCAAGGGGCCCAAGCGGGCCGGAAAGGCGAGCAUCAUGACUGGGGCG